AGUGAACGCUGGCGGUAGGCCUAACACAUGCAAGUCGAACGGCAGCACAGUAAGAGCUUGCUCUUACGGGUGGCGAGUGGCGGACGGGUGAGGAAUACAUCGGAAUCUACUUUUUCGUGGGGGAUAACGUAGGGAAACUUACGCUAAUACCGCAUACGACCUACGGGUGAAAGCAGGGGAUCUUCGGACCUUGCGCGAUUGAAUGAGCCGAUGUCGGAUUAGCUAGUUGGCGGGGUAAAGGCCCACCAAGGCGACGAUCCGUAGCUGGUCUGAGAGGAUGAUCAGCCACAAUGGAACUGAGACACGGUCCAGACUCCUACGGGAGGCAGCAGUGGGGAAUAUUGGACAAUGGGCGCAAGCCUGAUCCAGCCAUACCGCGUGGGUGAAGAAGGCCUUCGGGUUGUAAAGCCCUUUUGUUGGGAAAGAAAAGCGGCAGGUUAAUACCCCGCUGUUCUGACGGUACCCAAAGAAUAAGCACCGGCUAACUUCGUG
RNAcentral lists this ribosomal RNA (492 nucleotides) under uncultured bacterium. Its description in RNAcentral is "partial 16S ribosomal RNA". It matches the Rfam family "Bacterial small subunit ribosomal RNA", at positions 29 to 507 of the family's 1533-position model. The record is from RNAcentral.